This 354-nucleotide ribosomal RNA is filed under the name Micrococcus sp. oral taxon F54. RNAcentral describes it as "bacterial SSU rRNA". It matches the Rfam family "Bacterial small subunit ribosomal RNA", at positions 28 to 382 of the family's 1533-position model. Lineage: Bacteria; Bacillati; Actinomycetota; Actinomycetes; Micrococcales; Micrococcaceae. The record is from RNAcentral.
GAUGAACGCUGGCGGCGUGCUUAACACAUGCAAGUCGAACGAUGAAGCCCAGCUUGCUGGGUGGAUUAGUGGCGAACGGGUGAGUAACACGUGAGUAACCUGCCCUUGACUCUGGGAUAAGCCCGGGAAACUGGGUCUAAUACCGGAUAGGAGCGCCUGUCGCAUGACGGGUGUUGGAAAGAUUUUUCGGUCAUGGAUGGACUCGCGGCCUAUCAGCUUGUUGGUGAGGUAAUGGCUCACCAAGGCGACGACGGGUAGCCGGCCUGAGAGGGUGACCGGCCACACUGGGACUGAGACACGGCCCAGACUCCUACGGGAGGCAGCAGUGGGGAAUAUUGCACAAUGGGCGGAAGC